GUAAGCUUUUGGUGAACUUUGACAUGCAAGAGUUGCAUGUAAUUUGCCUAUUUAAGAAGGCUUUUGUUCAAACAUCAAAAGCUCUUGGAACCUUUGGCCAUUUGAUGUGUUUUCAAAAAGCUUACAUAACUCCGUUUAGCUCCACUUUUCUCUAAUUUUUUCCUUCUCCAAAAAGAGUCCCACCACUCUAUUCCAAACCUUGAGAAUAGCUAGGAAGAUCUCUUGGUGAUCCUUCAUUAGAGCUAUUUGAAGAUUUUUUAAAAGCUACAAAGCCACCCCCCCCCCUUUAUUUGUGUUCUCCGGUGAGGCAGCGGCGGUGGUCGACUUCACUGGCAAUGGUAGUGGAUGGCGUCAGUGGCAGCAGCGUAUGGCCGUAGCAACAAAGCCAACACUCUUUGCGGCGGUGCGACGAAACCCACGAGUUUUCAGCCUCCACCCCCGCUAUUGACAUAACUUUAUGGAGUUCGAUGAUCGGCAACAACCUUUCCUCGUCUAGAUCCGUCGACCCACGGUGGUUUGAGCCCAGACCCGUGGCGGAAUUCCUUGUUAAUAGAGCAGCGACACGUCUACUACUGAGUUUCAGUGAAGGCGACGCAUCGCCUUGAAGAGGAGGUGACGUGGCAGCAGGUUUUGUGUUCUGAUGGGAGUAUCACACAAGCAGUCUCCCCGACCCCAAAUCUGUGCACGAUGUCCCUUCCCCGACGAUUUCUGCAGUGUUUCAAUGAGACCCAGUGGCUGAACGGUGAAUUGGCUCAAACCUGCAAUGACUUCGGAGCACCGGCGCGUGGACAAAUUUUGAAAUCCAUCUUCCGGUGAUGUUUGGUGCUUACCCACGCCGAAACAAAAUCAGUUUCGUGACACCCACCCUCAUUCGAAGCUAGUUUCGGGCUACCCACACCUAAUCGGGGCUUGAUUCGUGAUAUCCACUCUCUUCGCCAUUGGUUCAGCAUUGACCCACCUCUAAUCGAACCAAAAUCAGCAUUACCCAUCACUUUUUGGCAUCAGACCAGCAAGUCUAUAGCUUUUCGAACUCGAUUUUGGAAGUCCGAACCUUUUCGAAAGUGACCCAACCAUAACCCGAGUGUUUCGGCAUGGAUUCAUAUGUAACGAAUCACCCAAACUUAGUCUCGAUGCAAAUUAAGUAUUUCUAAAAUGAACUCUAACCCAAGUUUGGUUUUUUUGGAUUUAGGAAUGCUUCGGCGAGCUUAGUAGCACGUUCGGACCUUGUAGUUUUGUAGGUAACGGGGUCACUCUCAGGAAUGGUGAUGGCGAGGAGGAGACUUGACUGGAAGAACCAUAUAGUGUUGUGUCAUUUUAUUUUCAUUUUUAAAUAGGAUAGGGGAAGUUGUUUAUGUUAUUUGAGUUUUUAUUUGAUUAAUAGGUGGGUUGUAUAAGUUUACUGUUUACAGGAUGUUUUAAGGUUGUUAGUCGUAAUUCUUUUGAGAACAUUAGUUUAGCUAUUUGAACUAUGAAGUUGUUAUCUAUUAAGGGUAACUAUUAAUACAUUUGUUCAUGUUGAAGUUAA
Momordica charantia (bitter melon) is the source of this 1525-nucleotide non-coding RNA. The record is from RefSeq and is a predicted model, not a curated record. Lineage: Eukaryota; Viridiplantae; Streptophyta; Magnoliopsida; Cucurbitales; Cucurbitaceae.